UACGAAGGGGGGCUAGCGUUGUUCGGAGUUACUGGGCGUAAAGGGUGUGUAGGCGGUUUUCUAAGUUUGGUGUGAAAUCUCCCGGCUCAACCGGGAGGGUGCGCCGAAAACUGGGAGACUAGAGUGCGGGAUGGGAGAGUAGAAUUCCUGGUGUAGCGGUGAAAUGCGUAGAUAUCAGGAGGAAUACCGGUGGUGUAGACGGCUCUCUGGACCGCCACUGACGCUGAGACACGAAAGCGUGGGUAGCAAACAGG
RNAcentral lists this ribosomal RNA (254 nucleotides) under uncultured bacterium. RNAcentral describes it as "partial 16S ribosomal RNA". It matches the Rfam family "Bacterial small subunit ribosomal RNA", at positions 524 to 776 of the family's 1533-position model. The record is from RNAcentral.